UACGAAGGGGGCUAGCGUUGUUCGGAAUUACUGGGCGUAAAGCGCACGUAGGCGGUUCUGUAAGUAGAGGGUGAAAUCCCAGGGCUCAACCCUGGAACUGCCUUCUAGACUGCAGGCCUCGAGGUCAGGAGAGGCGAGUGGAAUACCGAGUGUAGAGGUGAAAUUCGUAGAUAUUCGGUGGAACACCAGUGGCGAAGGCGACUCGCUGGACUGAUACUGACGCUGAGGUGCGAAAGCGUGGAGAGCAAACAGG
This 253-nucleotide ribosomal RNA is filed under the name uncultured bacterium. Its description in RNAcentral is "partial 16S ribosomal RNA". It matches the Rfam family "Bacterial small subunit ribosomal RNA", at positions 524 to 776 of the family's 1533-position model. The record is from RNAcentral.